RNAcentral lists this ribosomal RNA (240 nucleotides) under Triticum aestivum (bread wheat). RNAcentral's name for it is "partial small subunit ribosomal RNA". The record is from RNAcentral. Lineage: Eukaryota; Viridiplantae; Streptophyta; Magnoliopsida; Poales; Poaceae.
AUGCUAGUUGUACAUCCACGGAGGAAGGAUUGGUGGUUGCGGGCUAGGGCUGCGAUCCCUAAGGCUGUCAGGAAGAACUUUGAUACGGUGAUUAUUCUGCUGCAUUGAAGGGUUUGGAAGGAAAGAAAUGCCAGGAUUUUUGAUCAAAUGGCCAGCUCACCUGACAGGGUCUUGGAACGGAUUAAAGAGGAUGUGUCCAUGUGGAGGGCUGCGGGUUGCAUCGCUGAUCUUCCUACUUAG